This is a long non-coding RNA of Salmo salar (Atlantic salmon), 2256 nucleotides long. RefSeq lists it as uncharacterized. The record is from RefSeq and is a predicted model, not a curated record. Lineage: Eukaryota; Metazoa; Chordata; Actinopteri; Salmoniformes; Salmonidae.
AUCAGUUCAAUAAAGCUAUAGGAAACCGCGAGAAGCUGUUUCACAAGAUCCUCCAAAUACAUUGGGUGUGAGAAGGAAUAAAAAAAAGUCCUGGACACCCUUACAGCUGGAAAAUAUAGCAUUAUUGUCAAGGCGAAAUAGAGGUUUGCCUCAGUGGGGAGGGGGAAGCCAGAUCGCGUUACUUCCUUCUAAGCCACGCCAAUAAACGGUAAAGAAAAACAUCCUCCAUCGGGUUUCUUUGGAAAGUGGUGAUGCAAGAAGUUCUACUUCAUACAUUUCAGACGUCGAUUUUACCAUCGACAGCCAUCAACAUCAUCAAGCCCUGCACAACUAACGUGCUGUUUCCUAUUUAACAACAGGUAUUUACACGUGUUAUAUUUUGUAUUGUAUUUUUGUAUUUUGUUUAGUCCCAGUAUGAAAAUGUGAUGCAAGGGAUUUUACCAUCGACAGCCAUCAACAUCAUCAAGCCCUGCACAACUAACGUGCUAUUUCCUAUUUAACAACAGCAGAUAAUAAAUAAUGUUCAGCUGGGACCACUGGCUGGGGUGAUUUAUUUGGACGAAACACAACACAAGGAGAGUAUGAUCAGCAUCUGUUACACCUCCCCUAGGCAUCCCUCUCCCCUGGUAUUACUAGCACGCUAAAAGCUAGCUAGCUAGUUUACCAACUCAACCUAGCUGCCACUGUGUGUUGUCAUCUUGGCUUACCAAACAUCUGCCAUUUGUGCGUGUUUCGCAUAUAUAAGCCUACGUUUCAACAUGAUAUGUUUCCUGCUCCAGCCCUGUGGUCGUAGCUAGGCUCACCCAAAAUUAUUUUGCGGGUGCUGUACAACUCCCGCCAGAUUAUUGUAGCUCAAUACCUUUACUGUGUAUUGUGGUAACUGUUGUAAUACAGUCUCCUGUAACUAUUAUGUUAGUUAAUUUGAUUAAUAAGUAUGUUGCAUAAGAAAUAUUUAUAUUUUAUCAUUUUUUUCUAAACCUUCUGAGCUGAGAAAACACUGCAUCACCAUGAUGCUGGGCAUGCAUGGCUGCGCCUCUUGUGGAGCUGAACUACAAGUAGAAGAUGGUCAUGACCUGUGCUACGCCUGCCGAGGUGUUGGCCACCUGCGUGUGAGGCCUUUUCUGACCCCUGCAUUAACUGUGCCAUCCUGUUUGUGAAGGUAACCAUGGUUGACAGGGGAAGAACAAUGAUUGCAAGCACCACCCUCCUUUUGAAGCUUCCAGGCUGUUGUUCGAACUCAAUCAGCAUGACAGAGCAGCUGGUCCUUUUGUGGUACCAACAACAAUGCUCAGACAGAGGAGGCCCAGGAAACGGCCCUGCCGGGGCCAACAUCAAACUGGUCAGCUCAACACUUCUCAUAGAGCGGCACCUGGUCAAAUAUCUGCUGGCUGCAGAAACCAAUGUCCAUGUUGCCACACAGACGUGGCUGACGUGAUUCUGCAGACGGGGGCUGACCUGAAUCAUGAAUCGAAGAGGGGACCAGAACCCCUCGAAUGAAAGUCAAGCACGACCAAUGUUUAGUGAGGUCAUUUGCACUCACGAUUAAAGGAGAUCCAUGAAGUGAACAUGGACAGCAUCUCUAAGCCUGAUUUCUCAUAGGAGGACGGGUUGGACGGGACAGUGCAUUUCCUCAAAAUCAAGGUAGUCCCUGACAGUUGGAAGAUGGACCUGAGCGAGAUCUUAGAAUCGUCGAGGAGGACAAGGAAGGAAAGGAGAGCGAAGAGGAGAAAGAGGUGCUAAGGGUGGUCACACAAUUGUGGUGUCCUAGCUCCUCAACUACCCCAACAACAUUGUUUCGGGCCCCAUGCCAGACUUAUCUCAUCUCUCACCCCCCUCCCAAGACACCUCUCAGGCUCCAUGACUUCCAUUCCAAGCCCUGGCCAUGGUAGUGCCUCCCCAAGAGCCAGACAGGGUACCCUCCAACAUCACAAUACCUCCACUUGUCAUCACAAAAGAGGCUGAGCCCCCUACAGGUUAACGCCGUUGCUGCAGAGUGCAUUGUGGAAGAGACUGAGAGCAAGCUGAAUGAGUUGAGCCAAUGGAUCUCAGCCAUAGAGAAGGCAGAGCUGCAGCAGAAGAAAAUCCUCAAGGAGCAGUUAACCAAAGUGUACAUGAAGGUCAAAGGCCUGAAGGAUGACCCAGGAAAAGUAGUUGCUGGAGAUGAUCGUGGACUACAGGAAAAGGAGGGCCGAACAGGCCUCCAUUAACAUCGACGGGGCUGUAGUGGAGCGGGUCGAGAGUUUCAAGUUCCUUGGU